UACAGAGGGUGCAAGCGUUAAUCGGAAUUACUGGGCGUAAAGCGUGCGUAGACGGUUAUGUAAGUUAGGUGUGAAAGCCCCGGGCUCAACCUGGGAAUGGCGAUGGAUACUGGCUCGCUAGAGUGCGGUAGAGGGGAGUGGAAUUCCCGGUGUAGCAGUGAAAUGCGUAGAGAUCGGGAGGAACAUCAGUUGCGAAGGCGGCUCUCUGGACCAGCACUGACACUGAGGCACGAAAGCGUGGGGAGCAAACAGG
RNAcentral lists this ribosomal RNA (253 nucleotides) under uncultured bacterium. RNAcentral describes it as "partial 16S ribosomal RNA". It matches the Rfam family "Bacterial small subunit ribosomal RNA", at positions 524 to 776 of the family's 1533-position model. The record is from RNAcentral.